This 253-nucleotide ribosomal RNA is filed under the name uncultured bacterium. RNAcentral's name for it is "partial 16S ribosomal RNA". It matches the Rfam family "Bacterial small subunit ribosomal RNA", at positions 524 to 776 of the family's 1533-position model. The record is from RNAcentral.
UACGGAGGGUGCAAGCGUUAUCCGGAUUCACUGGGCUUAAAGGGUGCGUAGGCGGGCAGGUAAGUCAGUGGUGAAAUCCCCGAGCUUAACUUGGGAACUGCCGUUGAUACUAUCUGUCUUGAAUGUUGUGGAGGUGAGCGGAAUAUGUCAUGUAGCGGUGAAAUGCUUAGAUAUGACAUAGAACACCAAUUGCGAAGGCAGCUCGCUAAACAAUUAUUGACUCUGAGGCACGAAAGCGUGGGGAUCAAACAGG